CCUACGGGAGGCAGCAGUAAGGAAUAUUGGACAAUGGACGAAAGUCUGAUCCAGCCAUGCCGCGUGCAGGAUGAAAGCCCUAUGGGUUGUAAACUGCUUUUAUACAGGAAGAAACACUCCGACGUGUCGGAGCUUGACGGUACUGUAAGAAUAAGGAUCGGCUAACUCCGUGCCAGCAGCCGCGGUAAUACGGAGGAUCCAAGCGUUAUCCGGAAUCAUUGGGUUUAAAGGGUCCGCAGGCGGUCUUUUAAGUCAGAGGUGAAAGCCUACAGCUCAACUGUAGAACGGCCUUUGAUACUGAAAGACUUGAGUUAUUGUGAAGUGGUUAGAAUGUGUGGUGUAGCGGUGAAAUGCAUAGAUAUCACACAGAAUACCGAUUGCGAAGGCAGAUCACUAACAAUAUACUGACGCUCAUGGACGAAAGCGUGGGGAGCGAACAGGAUUAGAUACCCUGGUAGUCCACGCCGUAAACGAUGGAUACUAGCUGUUCGUCUAACAUUGGUUAGAUGAGUGGCUAAGCGAAAGUGAUAAGUAUCCCACCUGGGGAGUACGAUGGCAAG
RNAcentral lists this ribosomal RNA (560 nucleotides) under uncultured Bacteroidota bacterium. RNAcentral's name for it is "bacterial SSU rRNA". It matches the Rfam family "Bacterial small subunit ribosomal RNA", at positions 338 to 892 of the family's 1533-position model. The record is from RNAcentral. Lineage: Bacteria; Pseudomonadati; Bacteroidota.